UUUUGAAACAGGAGCACACAAGAUUUAAAGAUUUACCGGAGUGUGAAACAGAGCUUGGGAUGGACAUGUUAGUACACAAAGUUACAACAAACUGGACAGCACUGCUAGCGCCGUCCAUCCAGAUAUGAAAUUGGUCCUGUGGAUAAUGGUAAAAACACUUGUUUGUACAAAAUGAUGAUAUAAAAGGUUGUUGCUGGAUAAUGGUCUUGCAGUACAAGCAGGGAAGGGGUAUCCAAGUAAGACAACGCUAGACCUGAAUCUUCUGGAAAGCGUCCAGAUGUGGUUCGUCCACAAACUGCACUUGCAUCAUUUGGGUAAAAAUUAUGCAAGUCCUGAUAGUUCACCACAAGCCAUCAACAUUUUAUGUAGCCUGUAUAAUUCGAUUGGACAUGAGGUUGUUUUGUGCCCAGAGUGUGAUAAUAUCAUCUUU
Triticum aestivum (bread wheat) is the source of this 430-nucleotide long non-coding RNA. RefSeq lists it as uncharacterized. The transcript is spliced from 3 exons. NCBI's taxonomy places the organism in Eukaryota, Viridiplantae, Streptophyta, Magnoliopsida, Poales, Poaceae. The record is from RefSeq and is a predicted model, not a curated record.